UUUAUGGAGAGUUUGAUCCUGGCUCAGGAUGAACGCUGGCGGCGCGCCUAAUACAUGCAAGUCGAGCGAACGGACGAGAAGCUUGCUUCUCUGAUGUUAGCGGCGGACGGGUGAGUAACACGUGGAUAACCUACCUAUAAGACUGGGAUAACUUCGGGAAACCGGAGCUAAU
This 172-nucleotide ribosomal RNA is filed under the name Staphylococcus aureus. RNAcentral describes it as "partial 16S ribosomal RNA". It matches the Rfam family "Bacterial small subunit ribosomal RNA", at positions 1 to 167 of the family's 1533-position model. The record is from RNAcentral. Lineage: Bacteria; Bacillati; Bacillota; Bacilli; Caryophanales; Staphylococcaceae.